Non-coding RNA from Picea glauca (white spruce), 72 nucleotides. The record is from Rfam. NCBI's taxonomy places the organism in Eukaryota, Viridiplantae, Streptophyta, Pinopsida, Pinales, Pinaceae.
CUAUAACUUAUUGGUAAAGCAUUUGACUGCAGAUCAAAAGGUCCAAGAGGUCACUGGUUCGAACCCGGUUGG